Molecule: long non-coding RNA, 2857 nt
Organism: Lagenorhynchus albirostris (white-beaked dolphin)
Lineage: Eukaryota; Metazoa; Chordata; Mammalia; Artiodactyla; Delphinidae
Exons: 4
Source: RefSeq, a predicted model, not a curated record
CCCUGCCUGGCACCGUCGUCAAGCCUCUGCAGUCCCUGCUCCGGGCUGGACAGCACUGGGGCCCUCCUGCUGCAGGGGUAGAGUGGGGUGACAUCUCCCCACAAGGCUUCCUCUGGUUGCAGGGCUGGAAGGGGUCAGCUCUCUCUUCUUAUCAAAUGUCCACCCGCUAGCUGAGGGGAAAGGACGCCGAGUGAGAACGACCUGCUCUUAAGUAGCCGGGAGAGGAAGAGUUCCCGGCGCUGGGCUGCUAUGCUGACCUACUUCUCCUGAUGUGUGUGGACUCCCCAAGGACUGCUGAGGCGGGCGGGCCGCGCGUGUGUGGGCACAUGUGUGCACACGUGUGGCAGUGCGCCCACUUCGGGCUUCGGCCCCUGUCAGAUCAGCUUGGGCCGUUUUCCACAUCUCCUGGGAGCUGCACUGGCAGCCGCAAGUUGCUAGAAGCCCUUCUUCCCUCCCCACCUCCCUCCCCCAGGGACUGUCGGGUGCUUGGCUUAUCUCUGCUGCUUUGGCCUCAGAGUUGCCCUGGGCAGGCACCGGGCUUGGUGGGGGGCACACCUGCUCCCUCACCCCAGGCUCAGCCCAUGCUCUGACCACUGCCCAGCUCUGCCUCUCUACAGCUUGAACACGCCUCUCCAGUGCCCUCCGCCAUUCCUGCUGCCUGCCUUCGCUGCCCCCUGCCCCACACCCCACCUCCUUAUCUCAUUAUCCUCAGGUGCCACUCCUCCAGGAAGGCUUCCGUGCUGCCCCAGGUGCCAAUUUCUGUCUCUGAGGGGCCCCAGGGUUCAGACAGGGUCUGUAUGUCUCUCUCUCAGGGCCUCUGUUGAAUAUGGUGGUCUCAGCUGUGUGUCCCUCUCUGUCCCCAUCAACAGGCCAAGAGCGCCCUGGGGGCUGGUACUACAUCAAAUUCAACUCUUCCUUGUCCCUUCCCUUGGUUCCUAGGGUCCAGGUUGGGGGAUCCUGUAUAUUGCUCCCCCUCACUCCUUCAACCUCCCUCUCCCCUCAGGCCUGUUCUCUGCAAGGUGUCAGUAGGAGACAAGGAAUUAACCCGCACCCUGUCCCUGCGGCUGUGUCAUCCCCCCAGCUGGGUGACCUUGAGUAAGUCACAUCACCUCUCCGGGCCUCAGCUUCCACAUCCAUAAGAUGAAGAAAAUAGUAACAGUAAUAGCAGCGGCUAACACUUAAAUGUACUCACUACGUCGGGCCCUGUUUGGAGGAUGAACUCAUCUCACUUUCACAACUCCAUGAGUCAGAAUGUGUGAACAUCGCAUCCAUAUCCCUCAGUAUCUGAGUGGGGAAAUGGAGACCCAGAGAGGACAGAGCCUCAGCCAGGGAUGCGCAUGCCGUCACGGAGCUCCUGCAGAAAGCCGACUGGGUGCCAGGCACCGGUCCAGGUGUGCCACGUGUAUGAACUCAAUCCUCACAACAGUCCCCGAGGCAGGUGGACCAGCUCCUUUUUCAGGUGGGGACUUGAGCCCAGAGAGUGAAGUGAGACACAUCAGCCUCACUGGUGGUUGAAGGCAUAGACGGCUGGCAUCAGGGGGAACUUGACCUAAAAGUAUUUUACCUUCGUCUCUCUCACUGCCUCCACCUGGAGAAGCAGCCGAGGACCUGACGGCCGUGAACUUCCUAGCACCAGGCAGCAGAGGUCCUGGCCAACCUCCAUUCACCCGGUGUAGCUGGUGCUGCAUCCGUGCACACUCGAGCUGGCUGUGCUGCCCCAGGGGACCCCACGUGACCUGCACUCAAGUGUGUGCCCUCACUGGCCCCGAGGGAGGCCCUUGAUUCCCCAUCUGGGGUGCGGAAGGCAGGAGGGCGUCACCCCGUCUUCAUGGCAGUGGUUGUGGCCCUGACCACAAAGGCUCUGGCCCCAUGGGCUGGGUCUUCCGCCACAAGCUUGGAGGGCCACGGUAGUGGGGGGAGAGUUUCCCAAGCAAGAAGCAAGACCGAACCAUCUACCACUUCCUGUUGGCAGGUGGCUCAAGCUGGGUGCCACUUUCAUGAAAACAACACCCAAAGCGUAACCCAACUCAGGCCUACUUUGGGACCCCCUUCCCCAGCACAGGCACACACGCACACACACACACACACGCAGUGCCAGUCUGGCAAAAUUUCACUCACUGAGUCCUCGUAAGUACCCUGAGAAGGGGGCAAGAUGCCUCCCAUUUUAAAAAUCAGCUUAAUUGAGGUAUAACUUGCAUAUCACAAAACUCCCCCGUAGCAAGUGUAUAAUUCAAUGAUUUCAGUAAAUGCACAGAGCUGUGCAACCAUUGCCGUGAUCAAGUGAUGCUUUCUACUUUGUGGAUAAAGAGCAGAGGCCCAAGAAACCUCUGACUUACUAUGGUUAUGGCAAAGAUGACUUCUGCCCUAAGUCAUGCAAACCAUGACUUACUAUGGUUAUGGCAAAGAUAGCCAACUGCCCACCAAAGCUUUGUGUUCUCUCUUCUGUAAUACAGAGCUGUUUUGGAGGGUGGCUGUCAGCAGGGAACUGCAUUUCUCCUCUCCCCUGCUUCCAGGUGUGGUCACCUGGGGUGGCCACCUGAGACUGGUUUUCCCCAGUGGCAUGGGAACAGAAGUGAGGUGUCACUUCUAGGCUGGAGCUUUUAAGAGUGGCUAAAGUUUCUUCCUCUUCUUCUGUGGCUUGAUGCAGAGGACUCCAGGGCUCUAGAAGAUGGUGGUGGAGCUACAGGAUAGGAGGAGCCUGGGUCCCCCGGGUGUGCGAGGCCUCCUGCCGAUGAGGACUACCUGCUCUGUAUUUUGUGAGCCAGAAGUAGACUUGUUAGGCUGCUGAGAUAUAUGGGGCUUAUUUGUUACAGCAGCUAAUACUGCCCUAAUUCAAGAGUUAUGUAGCAAGUAAACA